CAGCGCAACCCUGACUCUGCAGCUAGGAGAGGAGCCCCAGCCCCAGGGUUUCCAGGUGUUCCAAUCAGCAAUCAGGACAGAACACAGAGAGCUCACCAUGGAGUCUGUGCUCAGCUGGGUUUUCCUUGUUGCUCUUUUAAAAGGUGUCCAGUGUGAGGUGCAGCUGGUGGAGUCUGGGGGAGACCUGGUGAAGCCUGGGGGGUCCCUGA
This is a long non-coding RNA of Ailuropoda melanoleuca (giant panda), 209 nucleotides long. RefSeq lists it as uncharacterized. The transcript is spliced from 2 exons. Lineage: Eukaryota; Metazoa; Chordata; Mammalia; Carnivora; Ursidae. The record is from RefSeq and is a predicted model, not a curated record.